GACGAACGCUGGCGGCGUGCUUAACACAUGCAAGUCGAACGGAAAGGCCCUGCUUUUGUGGGGUGCUCGAGUGGCGAACGGGUGAGUAACACGUGAGUAACCUGCCCUUGACUUUGGGAUAACUUCAGGAAACUGGGGCUAAUACCGGAUAGGAGCUCCUGCUGCAUGGUGGGGGUUGGAAAGUUUCGGCGGUUGGGGAUGGACUCGCGGCUUAUCAGCUUGUUGGUGGGGUAGUGGCUUACCAAGGCUUUGACGGGUAGCCGGCCUGAGAGGGUGACCGGCCACAUUGGGACUGGGAUACGGCCCAGACUCCUACGGGAGGCAGCAGUGGGGAAUAUUGCACAAUGGGCGGAAGCCUGAUGCAGCAACGCCGCGUGCGGGAUGACGGGCUUCGGGUUGUAAACCGCUUUCGCCUGUGACGAAGCGUGAGUGACGGUAAUGGGUAAAGAAGCACCGGCUAACUACGUG
RNAcentral lists this ribosomal RNA (468 nucleotides) under uncultured bacterium. RNAcentral describes it as "partial 16S ribosomal RNA". It matches the Rfam family "Bacterial small subunit ribosomal RNA", at positions 28 to 507 of the family's 1533-position model. The record is from RNAcentral.